Molecule: ribosomal RNA, 305 nt
Filed under: uncultured bacterium
Lineage: Bacteria
Description: bacterial SSU rRNA
Rfam family: Bacterial small subunit ribosomal RNA
Source: RNAcentral
UUCUCCUACGGGGGGCAGCAGUGAGGAAUAUUGGUCAAUGGGCGGAAGCCUGAACCAGCCAAGUCGCGUGAGGGAAUAAGGCCCUACGGGUCGUAAACCUCUUUUGCCGGGGAGCAAGGGCGGGGACGUGUCCCGGCCCGGAGAGUACCCGGAGAAAAAGCAUCGGCUAACUCCGUGCCAGCAGCCGCGGUAAUACGGAGGAUGCGAGCGUUAUCCGGAUUUAUUGGGUUUAAAGGGUGCGUAGGCGGCAUUAUAAGUUAGUGGUAAAAUAUUGGGGCUUCACCUCACUACGCCAUUAAUACUGU